This 408-nucleotide ribosomal RNA is filed under the name uncultured bacterium. Its description in RNAcentral is "partial 16S ribosomal RNA". It matches the Rfam family "Bacterial small subunit ribosomal RNA", at positions 28 to 526 of the family's 1533-position model. The record is from RNAcentral.
GACGAACGCUGGCGGCGUGCUUAACACAUGCAAGUCGAACGAAGUGGCGAACGGGUGAGUAACGCGUAAUCAACCUGCCCUUCAGAGGGGGACCACAGUUGGAAACGACUGCUAAUACCGCAUACUGAAGGAGGGGAUUGCGUGUGAUUAGCUAGUUGGAGGGGUAACGGCCCACCAAGGCGAUGAUCAGUAGCCGUUCUGGGAGGAUGAACGGCCAAAAUGGGACUUGGACACGGCCCAGACUCCUUGGGGAGGCAGCAGUGGGGAAUCUGCCGCAAUGGAUGAAAGGCUGACGGAGCAAAGCCGCGGGAGUGAUGACGGCCGUCGGGUUGUAAAGCUCUGUUAAGCGGGACGCGGUACCGGAAUAGAAAGCAACGGCUAACUACGUGCCAGCAGCCGCGGUAAUAC